CUAGUAGUUUCAGAGGAGAAGAUUCUUGAAAUAGUUUACGACGACGGACGCCAAGUGAUGGCAUAAGCUCACUUUGGCCCAUCGGGCCACGUGAGCUAAAAAGGCAGCCAUUUUAGUUUUACUGGAUCUAUUUGAAUUUUUACAAAUGAUGGUUGAUUUGAAGUCUACUUCCUUCACAACGGCUGAUUUCAGGGUUAGGUUGGUUUGCUGUCCAGACCGCUAACCACGACGAUGAAGUUCUGGUCGAUGAGUCCCGGACGUAGUAAUAACGAUGACAGUAAGCGUUAUCAGGACCAAAGUCGUGAGACAGUGAUGGAAAUCGCGGUCCAUUAUCUAACAACUAGGAUACCACCCUCGGACGUCAGUCGACAUAACACUCUCCCAUCUACAAUGGAGUUUGGAGU
Molecule: long non-coding RNA, 404 nt
Filed under: Mytilus galloprovincialis (Mediterranean mussel)
Lineage: Eukaryota; Metazoa; Mollusca; Bivalvia; Mytilida; Mytilidae
Source: RNAcentral